Molecule: microRNA precursor, 92 nt
Filed under: Medicago truncatula (barrel medic)
Lineage: Eukaryota; Viridiplantae; Streptophyta; Magnoliopsida; Fabales; Fabaceae
Description: MIR2617 microRNA precursor family
Rfam family: MIR2617 microRNA precursor family
Source: Rfam by way of RNAcentral
AAGAAAUGUGGCAUGCCCGUUGUGAAUUACUCUGAUUAUUGAUGUAUAUUCUUUAAUUUAAAUGAUUUUGAGAAACGGGGUGUUACAAUUGG